GGAGAGAUGACCGAGUGGUUGAAGGUGCACGCUUGGAAAGCGUGUGUGCGCGGAAGCGUACCGAGGGUUCGAAUCCCUCUCUCUCCGCCA
RNAcentral lists this transfer RNA (90 nucleotides) under Candidatus Hydrogenedentota bacterium. Its description in RNAcentral is "tRNA-Ser". It matches the Rfam family "tRNA". Rfam says of the family: Transfer RNA (tRNA) molecules are approximately 80 nucleotides in length. Their secondary structure includes four short double-helical elements and three loops (D, anti-codon, and T loops). Further hydrogen bonds mediate the characteristic L-shaped molecular structure. tRNAs have two regions of fundamental functional importance: the anti-codon, which is responsible for specific mRNA codon recognition, and the 3' end, to which the tRNAs corresponding amino acid is attached (by aminoacyl-tRNA synthetases). tRNAs cope with the degeneracy of the genetic code in two manners: having more than one tRNA (with a specific anti-codon) for a particular amino acid; and 'wobble' base-pairing, i.e. permitting non-standard base-pairing at the 3rd anti-codon position. Lineage: Bacteria; Pseudomonadati; Candidatus Hydrogenedentota. The record is from RNAcentral. RNAcentral also lists the same sequence under 1 other name.